RNAcentral lists this long non-coding RNA (1147 nucleotides) under Nicotiana tabacum (common tobacco). Its description in RNAcentral is "long non-coding RNA (NTAB_LNC019655)". Lineage: Eukaryota; Viridiplantae; Streptophyta; Magnoliopsida; Solanales; Solanaceae. The record is from RNAcentral.
AAGAGGAGAAAAAUUCAGAAAAAUCAAAACAGCUAAAAUUUCAUAAAAAAUCACUGUUCCAUUGAAAUUCUUCUGUGAUUUCUGAGGUUCUCAAUUUUUGAAACAAUUUCUGACUCAUCUGGGGUAAAAAUGGACUGAAUUUGGGUUUUAAAAGUCUGGUUUGAAGUUCACUGUGGUUAUUGCUCGAUUGAAACUGGAUUUUGGACUGUUGUACAUCAUUUUUCUGUUUGAAAAUUGGUUAUGCUGUUGUUGCUUCUUCUGGAUUUCUCACCCAUUUUUCCUUGUUUGAUUGCUGCAAUCAGGUACAUAUUCUUGGACUAUACUAGAUGCCAAGCAAGUUUGAAGUAUGAAAUUAAAAUGGAUGUUCAAAGCAUGACAUCAAAUUUUCUUUUUAUAAUCUAGUUGUCUUUCUUUGAAUUGCAUAGUGUUACUUCCAGAUUCAUAGUAUUUCUUAAUCGUUCCGUAGUUUAAUCUUUGAAUUCCUGCCAUUGUAUUUAACCUUGGGCCGUUGAGAUAUGGAUUUGACUUAGUUGAACAAUACGUGAGUUGUAUGGUAGCAUUUGAUUCCAGGUUAAUUUUAUGGUCAUUUUUUAUAUUCUAGGUUUAAAUGGCUUCAAAGUCUAUUGUUUGGCUUGUGAGCAACAGGGGUGAAAGCAUUAAGUAUCUGAUGCUGGGAGUUCUGUGAAAAACUUUAAAGCUCAAUGCAAUUGCUUGAGAGCUAUUUCUGGAUUGUAUUUACCCCUGUUAAAGUCAGUACUUGAAUUCUGCCUCCCUGUCAUCAGUAUUUGAAUGCAUGAAUGAUAUUUGCUUUAGACUUGUGAUUUAACUUUGUGAUAUCGGGAGCCUAUUUCCCCAGUGAGUAUAUUGUUUACUUUCAGCUUGGGACUGUUAAAUUCAUUUGGGAAAUCAGAAUCGCUUGAGCAUGAGUGUAGGGUUGUUUGUAAAUGGGAGUUAUUUUAUCAUAUAUUGCAUGAGCUUAAUAUUGUUAGUCUAGUUACUGAACUUUUCUUUUAGUGACAGGCUCUUCUUUUGAUUUGGGCUUUAUGUUGAGCCCAGUUGUAUUCUCAUGUCAUGUUGAAACUAUUGGCAAUUGGUUGUAGGCACAUAGCUAGCCUAAAUUCUUUUAACAAUCAAACGUGGGUUCCGC